CCAGCACCCCGAGUGGUCGGGACGAUUAUUGGGCCUAAAGCAUCCGUAGCCGGUUUUACAAGUCCUCCGUUAAAUCCAACUGCUUAUCAGAUGGGCCGCGGAGGAUACUAUAAGACUAGGAGGCAGGAGAGGCAAGCGGUACUCAGUGGGUAGGGGUAAAAUCCGUUGAUCCAUUGAAGACCACCAGUGGCGAAGGCGGCUUGCCAGAAUGCGCUCGACGGUGAGGGAUGAAAGCUGGGGGAGCAAACCGGAUUAGAUACCCGGGUAGUCCCAGCUGUAAACGAUGCAGACUCGGUGAUGGACCAGCUUCAUGCUAGUCCAGUGCCGCAGGGAAGCCGUUAAGUCUGCCGCCUGGGUAGUACGGUCGCAAGACUG
Molecule: ribosomal RNA, 375 nt
Filed under: uncultured organism
Description: bacterial SSU rRNA
Rfam family: Archaeal small subunit ribosomal RNA
Source: RNAcentral